CCCCCUCCAAAUGGUGGAAUAGUUCUCAUAGGAAAGCUCUGUGGACACUUCUUAUUUCUGUCUCAAGAAACCUAUUCAAACUACUUUGUGCAAGCUUGUUUUGACUCUGGAUCUUGGCCUUGGUGCCUCGUAGCUCAGCUUCAAUUUGUUCAAUUUUUGUGAUUUUCAGGUUCAGAUGUUUGCUUAAUCUUCUUCCAAUGUCUCUUUGGAAGAAGAUUCAACUGCUUCAUCUCUUUGUGAGCUUAGUGUGCGAGUUGCUAACCCUAGAUGAAGACAUUAAACCCCUUUUCGAUCAGCUUUUCACCAUCUUCAGUCCUCAUGACAUGAAGGUACAGUUUCUUUUUGCUUUUAUUUUUCUUGGUUUGAUGUAGAAUUCUUAGUUUUGAUUCUUCUUUGAAUAUAGAGUUGUUUACCAUCUAAGGCACAGUUUGAGUUCUUUUAACAUAUAUAGACACAUUGGGCUGUUGGGACACUUUUUUUGGACAGCUGUCCUUUUUCUGACCUUUAUGCCCUCAAACCCAGUUAGUUGUGUUUUGUAUGGUUAGGUUAAAGUAACCCAGCUGAAUUGUGGACAUUAAAAAAGUUUGGUAUUGUGUCUUAAUCUGAACCACAAGUUUAAAUUUGCCUAAGGAAAUCUAACAGGUGUGUAACGAUUUUAUAUUUGAGAUUUGCAUGCCUUUAGAUUUCAUUAGAAGCAACAAGAUCCAACGGUAGAUAAUAAGAUUGUAUUACAUUAUUAGUUUUUAUUUUUAUUAUAUAUUCACCCCUUAUGUCUUAUUUUGAGUGUAUUUCAAAAUUUAAAAUACAUAAGUAAAUAUAUUUGGUAUAGUUUGUUCUAAUUUUUUUUCCUUUGUACUUUGACAUCCAUUUUAAUAAUUUUAAUAAUUAAUAAAUAAUUUUUUGUGGAUAAACAAUGUCUGGACAUGAGUUCUAAUUAUGUGGACAUGUGAAUUAUGGACAGACAAUUUGUGGACGGAUGACUUAUGGAUCUGGUUUUUCAUUUACCAUAAUAACAAAAUAUAGACCAUGAAGUUGUUCUUAGUCUAGGUGUGUGGACAUGGGAGGUGUGGAUAGGAGAGUUGGGUAAAGAGAAGUUGUGUACAGGGGAUGUGUGUACAUGAUGCCUUUGACAAAGGCGUGGACGAGCGGACUGUGGACAGAGUAACAACCAGAGCCUAUCUUGAUCCAAAACCAAAAUACGUAUCUUUUGGGGAAGGAGGAAGCCUCUCCCAUCCCAGAAGCUCUCCUCUUAGCCUGAAACCCACUCUUUGUCACUCUAUUAAUUAACCUCUCCACCGCCGCAUCCGCCAUCUCCCCAACCUCAGUUCUAGGCUCUCCUCCGCAUCUUUCAUCAUCGCUUCCAGUUCUUCACAUCCUCAUCUGCUUCCGCCAUCACCGCUUCCGACAUGUUCGCCGUCUUCGUCUCUUCUUGUCCUCCAACUUUUUCAUCCCUCUCCCAAUACACUUACCAUUGAAGUUACAGCGUCGGUGACGGAGAUCCUUGCCGUGUGGCUUCUAGAUUAAUCUCACAAUCUCGCUUCUAGAUCUGACAAUGGUUUUGCUGGAUUUGAAGGAAGCAUCGGGAAUCUAAAGGUCGUUUAAACGGAAAUUGCAACCCAUUUCUUCAACCUUUCAAUCAACCAUUCAUUCAACAAUCUCUGUACAAUUGUCGACUCAUUUGGUGUGAAUCUUGCCGGGGCUUUCAAAAACGACCUUUGGUGCUUGAUCCCAAACGGGAGAGCUUGCUAUGUCCUUAAAAGAUACACGAGGAACCCCCAUCAAAAUGGUGGAACCGAUAUCAUUGCAAAGCUGUGCGGGCACUUCUUUUUUCUCUCUCAAGAAUCAUACUCCAACUUUUUUGUGCAAGCAUGCUUUGAUUCUGGAU
Brassica napus (rape) is the source of this 1885-nucleotide RNA transcript. RefSeq lists it as uncharacterized. Lineage: Eukaryota; Viridiplantae; Streptophyta; Magnoliopsida; Brassicales; Brassicaceae. The transcript is spliced from 3 exons. The record is from RefSeq and is a predicted model, not a curated record.